Molecule: signal recognition particle RNA, 299 nt
Filed under: Homo sapiens (human)
Lineage: Eukaryota; Metazoa; Chordata; Mammalia; Primates; Hominidae
Description: RNA component of signal recognition particle 7SL3 (RN7SL3)
Rfam family: Metazoan signal recognition particle RNA
About the family: The signal recognition particle (SRP) is a universally conserved ribonucleoprotein. It is involved in the co-translational targeting of proteins to membranes. The eukaryotic SRP consists of a 300-nucleotide 7S RNA and six proteins: SRPs 72, 68, 54, 19, 14, and 9.
Source: RNAcentral
GCCGGGCGCGGUGGCGCGUGCCUGUAGUCCCAGCUACUCGGGAGGCUGAGGCUGGAGGAUCCCUUGAGUUCAGGAGUUCUGGGCUGUAGUGCGCUAUGCCGAUCGGGUGUCCGCACUGAGUUCGGCAUCAAUAUGGUGACCUCCCGGGAGCGGGGGACCACCAGGUUGCCUAAGGAGGGGUGAACCGGCCCAGGUCGGAAACGGAGCAGGUCAAAACUCCCGUGCUGAUCAGUAGUGGGAUUGCGCCUGUGAAUAGCCACUGCACUCCAGCCUGGGCAACAUAGUGAGACCCUGCCUCU